CGGUUGAUCCUGCCGGAGGUCACUGCUAUUGGGAUUCGACUAAGCCAUGCGAGUCGAGAGGGUUCGGCCCUCGGCUGACGGCUCAGUAACACGUGGAUAAUCUGCCCUUAGGUGGAGGAUAAUCUCGGGAAACUGAGGAUAAUACUCCAUAGAUCUAGGAUGCUGGAAUGCAUCUAGAUUGAAAGCUCCGGCGCCUAAGGAUGAGUCUGCGGACUAUCAGGCUGUAGUCAGGGUAAAGACCUGACUAACCUACGACGGAUACGGGUUGUGAGAGCAAUAACCCGGAGACGAUAUCUGAGACACGAUAUCGGGCCCUACGGGGCGCAGCAGGCGCGAAACCUUCACACUGUGCGAAAGCGCGAUGAGGGAAUCCCAAGUGCUUGCACGUAAGUGUAAGCUGUUUUUGUGUAUAAAAAGCAUAGAGAGUAAGAGCUGGGUAAGACGGGUGCCAGCCGCCGCGGUAAUACCUGCAGCUCAAGUGGUGACCACUAUUAUUGGGCCUAAAACGUUCGUAGCCGGUUUAGUAAAUGCCUGGGUAAAUCGAGCCGCUUAACGGUUCGACUUCCGGGUAGACUGCUAAACUUGAGACCGGGAGAGGCUAGAGGUACUCCUGGGGUAGAGGUGAAAUUCUGUAAUCCUGGGGGGACCACCAGUGGCGAAGGCGUCUAGCUAGAACGGGUCUGACGGUGAGGGACGAAGCCCUGGGGCGCAAACCGGAUUAGAUACCCGGGUAGUCCAGGGUGUAAACGCUGCUUGCUUGAUGUUAGUUGGGCUCUGAGCCCGAUUAGUGUCGGAGAGAAGUUGUUAAGCAAGCUGCCUGGGAAGUACGGUCGCAAGGCUGAAACUUAAAGGAAUUGGCGGGGGAGCAC
RNAcentral lists this ribosomal RNA (869 nucleotides) under uncultured archaeon. RNAcentral's name for it is "bacterial SSU rRNA". It matches the Rfam family "Archaeal small subunit ribosomal RNA", at positions 5 to 879 of the family's 1478-position model. The record is from RNAcentral.